UGGACUGUUCACCCACCAACAGCGAACGUGAGCUGGGUUUAGACCGU
This 47-nucleotide ribosomal RNA is filed under the name uncultured Pyramimonas. RNAcentral's name for it is "partial Eukaryotic large subunit ribosomal RNA". Lineage: Eukaryota; Viridiplantae; Chlorophyta; Pyramimonadophyceae; Pyramimonadales. The record is from RNAcentral.